RNAcentral lists this long non-coding RNA (1070 nucleotides) under Monodelphis domestica (gray short-tailed opossum). RNAcentral describes it as "lncRNA (ENSMODG00000037904.1)". Lineage: Eukaryota; Metazoa; Chordata; Mammalia; Didelphimorphia; Didelphidae. The record is from RNAcentral.
CACUUCUGACUUCUAUUACUUGUGUGAACUUCUGGAAGUCACUCUGAUUCUCAGUUUCCUAAUUUGUAAAAAGGAGGUAAUAUCUACAGUGCCUACUUCAAAGAAUUGUUGAGAUAUCAUAAGCAUAAAGUUUUUCUAGCUUUAAAGAACAAUAUAAAUGCUGAUCAGGCAGCCAGUUAGCAUUCAUUAAGCACCUACUAUGUGCCCUGUACUGGACUGCAUAUUGUCAUAAUUAUUGUUACUGUUAUUUUGUCCAGAAUUCAGGCAUAUUGGCUAACCUCAUACCUGGAAUGGUUGUGACAGUUCUGUGGCUUCACUUAAAUUUAUUGCUUUAGGAAAAGAAGGAAAAGGAACAAAAAUCAGGAUUAUUCUCCACCUGCUGUCUGGAUAAAGGGCUCUAUUUAUAAACAGAGGAUUUCAUUUGGCCUAUGUAGAUGUAGCCUCGUCUGCAUGCUCCCAGAUGGAAACCAUGUUGGUGUUGCUUCUGAGUGCCUUUCUCGGUUCAAAGUGGAUUUUCUGCAUCCUAGGUGUCCUUGGAGUAGAUGCUUAACAGACAGUGGAAUGUGAACUGGGACCUGGAAAGAAAGGGAACUGUCAAAAGACCAAAGAACAACAGUCUGGAAAUAAACUUGAAAAGGAAAAAGAGAGAAAAAAGCCUAGAUGCCUGUGCAGCCAAGAGUGUGUGACUAGCACUUGAAUGGCAGAUAAAGAGACCUGACACCCAGUACGACUCUUCUGCCAUGAUUGUGUUUUCACUGGAGGAAGCUGUUCGUGAACAAAAGGGAAAGAAGCCACUGAUAGAAAAGAGACAGGCAUGUUUUUUUCAUACACAAUAUGCAGCAUCUACAGAAGUAAGAGGGAAGGAAAUCAGUGGAAUAAGAAGUCAUUGGGGAGAGUAGCAACACACAUGGGAUAAUGGCAUUGCUUAUAUCUCCCCAAACCUGUACCUCACUUCUCCUCACAACUCAGCUUGAGCCUUACACAGUGUUAUAUCAACAGGUAAAUGGAAUCUAUUGCAGCUAUUAAGUGCAAAACAUUAUGCCAAACCCAGGGUUACAAAAAAUGGGCAC